UUAAAAAAAACAAAAAAAUUGCAGAGCGAAAGAGGGAGAGAGAGGGAUGGUCCACACGUGCGUGUCUCCACCUCCACCUCCACCUCGUCGUCACUCAGUUUCGGCUCUCAAAUCUUCUCCGCUUUUAAUCCUACCUCCGCCUCCGACCCUCAGAAGCUCUCUCUACCUGCGGAGCCCUUUCGUUCCAGGAAAAAGAUAAGAGUUUGCCAAACUCGAGGAUAAUGAUCCAUCAGCCUCUUGGUGUAGCUCAAGGUGGGCAAACUGACAUAGAUAUUCAGACAUGAUCCUAAUAAGAGACGGUCUCAUGCCAAUGAAAUGCUGCAUCAUAAAGCAAACCUUAAUGGGUAUCUCUCCUACCACACUGGUCAAGAAAGUCUUGAAAGGAUUAAUCAAGAUACCGACUACAAUUUCUUCAUGAGUGCAAAAGAAGCCAAGGAAUAAAGGGCUUAUAGAUGGUGUCAUUAUGAAUCCUCUCAAAGCUCUCCAGCCACCAGCUGCUACAGCAGAGACAAAAGACGAGUCUAGCAUGUUAACACCUCUCAAAUGACCAUGCACUAGAUGGCAUGCAUGGCUAUAUAGUGACGUUAAAUGGGCAAAUGACCUUUUCUAGGUGCCUGACGACCCAUGUAACUUUGCAAUGUUGAUUACCGGUGUUGCACAGAAAUAAGAACCCGAAAUUUUGCUGUUCGUUCUAUCUGAACUUAUAGAUUGAGAAAUAGAUCAAUUUUUAGAUAUGAAAUUUGGAUUUGAGAAUAGAAUCUGUGCGAAAAUGCUUUAUUUUGUUAUUUCUAUAUAAUGGAUUUCUUUACGAAUUCUACAUACGGAUUUGCAUAAACUUUAGAAGCUAAUGGUUUGUUACAUAAGAAGUGUGCCCUCUAUGAUAUUUCCACUAUCAUCUGGGGGCUAGCCUACUUUUACAAGCCUUGCUCAGCAAUAGUAUGUUGGCAUCCUGCCCUGGACUGGAGCGAGCUUGUUUAUUGCUGUGGUCCAAGUUUUGCUUAGCAAUAGGUCCACCAUGACCGAUUGGAGCAACAACCCUCACCAUUCUCUCCACCAACCUUCUCAUCCUCACCGCAUUCAUCCAUCUGAUGCAUAUAUGUUCGAUGCCAAAUAACCUGCAGAAUCCAAUGGCUCCAGCACAAGAAGAUGGGAACAGGUUUUGAAGAUAGUUUGUACUGGUCUUUUUUGUAUUUUUCUUCGCUUUAGGUAAUUAUUCUCAAACUUGCCUUUAUAUUCUACACCUUUGAUCAUGUGUCAAGAUUUUUAACUUAUAAGCAGAAAAAAGUGUCUCAAGACACUUGGUUUCUGAUGA
Molecule: RNA transcript, 1312 nt
Organism: Carya illinoinensis
Lineage: Eukaryota; Viridiplantae; Streptophyta; Magnoliopsida; Fagales; Juglandaceae
Exons: 4
Source: RefSeq, a predicted model, not a curated record